RNAcentral lists this long non-coding RNA (482 nucleotides) under Ananas comosus (pineapple). RNAcentral's name for it is "long non-coding RNA (ACOM_LNC039131)". Lineage: Eukaryota; Viridiplantae; Streptophyta; Magnoliopsida; Poales; Bromeliaceae. The record is from RNAcentral.
UGUACACCAUCUCUAUGCCGUGAGUCUUAGCAAAUGAAGUGCUAAUGAAUGAAUGAGAUGCGCCUGUAUCAAACACUGCUCUAGCUCUAGUGCCUUUAAUCACAAUUAUACCUGCCACGACGUCGUCGGGUGCUGCAGGUUGUUGCUCCUCCACCUGAGCGGCAAAGACUCGGCCGCUAGGCGCUCUCGAUCCCUCCGGCUGACGCGGUGAUGACGCGCGCCCAGCCGACAUCGCUGGUGGUAACCCCGCAAGCUGUCUCGGGGUAGACGGUGUUGAAGCCGCCGUCGGCGCAGACGACGUCCACGACGGGCACUCCCGGAUGACAUGUCCCGGUUGGCCACACUUGAAACACUUGCCAUCGCGCUGCGGGCAAGUCGUCACCUUGUGCUCUCCGCCACAUAUAACACAUCGAGGCGGUCUCCAGUUCCUCGACUGCUGUCGGGGAUACCGAGGGGGUUUCUUAGCAUUUGGCCGGCCCCCG